GAGCAACACAAUGAAACCAUGCUGGGACAUAAAUAUCAUUUUUACAUAUCAAGACACAUCACAACCCGGACUAGUUUUACCUUCGUAUGGGAGGUGGAUCUGUGAUGUCCGAGCUGUCCUGUUUUCUUCCUUUGUUCCGGGACCAACUUGUCGUCCUGCACAGCUCACAAUAGAAAACUUGGUGACAUUAUGACUUUUAUGAUCCAGGUUAUGUAUCACUUAAAACACAUAAUAUUGUGAAAGUCAUAUUU
RNAcentral lists this long non-coding RNA (251 nucleotides) under Malus domestica (apple). RNAcentral's name for it is "long non-coding RNA (MDOM_LNC002965)". The record is from RNAcentral. Lineage: Eukaryota; Viridiplantae; Streptophyta; Magnoliopsida; Rosales; Rosaceae.